Molecule: long non-coding RNA, 201 nt
Filed under: Mytilus galloprovincialis (Mediterranean mussel)
Lineage: Eukaryota; Metazoa; Mollusca; Bivalvia; Mytilida; Mytilidae
Source: RNAcentral
AUUUUAUCCUUUUCGUAAUAUGUGCACUUUGGAAUGUCAAUUAGCAUUGUCCCUUGGUGCCUCUUGCAGUUGUGUCACUUUAAAAAGUACUGACUCCUCUGCACCAGGCACGAGGAAGACAUACCAGUUAUGUGCAACUUCUUACAAUAUUUUACCAUAUCAUUAGUGUCCUGAUACAGUUUAAUAUGCACCCACCAUGCC